GUUGAAACCCAAACCUCCUUGUCAGACCUCAGAAGCUAAGCAGGGCUGGGCUGGGUUAGUACUUGGAUGGGAAACCACUAGGAAUACCAGGUGCCACA
RNAcentral lists this ribosomal RNA (98 nucleotides) under Periophthalmus magnuspinnatus. The record is from RNAcentral. Lineage: Eukaryota; Metazoa; Chordata; Actinopteri; Gobiiformes; Gobiidae.